This is a long non-coding RNA of Orbicella faveolata, 524 nucleotides long. NCBI's taxonomy places the organism in Eukaryota, Metazoa, Cnidaria, Anthozoa, Scleractinia, Merulinidae. The record is from RefSeq and is a predicted model, not a curated record.
GUCAGUCACCAACAGCAGUUCUUUUUCAGAACUACUCUCACCCGGACGAUCACAAUAUACGAACUACAAGAGCCUUGACCUUUACAAUUAUCAGGAUAUUGCACAGUAAAGUUUUGAGAACACAUACUAGUCUCUGGUGAUAGAGAUCCACUGCCUAGCCUUUCUGCUUCCUAUAUGUAGUGGUUAAGUAGUGUCACAGCAGAGUUGGAAAACCUUAUGAGUGUUUCACAAUCAUUUAAUCAAAAAUGAGAAAGGAGUAACCCUUACUUGUCAAUAAUUGACUCAUUUGAUUUUUUUUUCGGCUUUAAAAACAGGCAAAGUUUGAUGCAAGGAAGGCCAAAGAGAAAGUCACAAACGUAGAUGGAGAAAAUGAACAUCUGGGGCAAGAAAGAGUCAGAUUAAAGGUGGAAAAUGAGGAACUUCAACUGGCCCAAGUGGCAGGGUCUCCAAUGCGUCAACUGUCCCCUGGUACCCCUUCUGGUGAUGAUUUUGAUCUCGGUAGUUCCAUGUCUUCAGAAGUGAAG